UGUAAUGGACUUUAAACGGCUUCUAGUUCAAACGACCCUUCCAGUGCUAAACCCCACUGUAACAUCCCCACCAAGUGAUCCUCAAGCCACGAGGGAGGUGUCUUAAACCCAGCCCUGAGUGAUUGCAGCCCCCCUCCCACCUGGUGGAUUUCAUGAGCUCUUUGAAUGCCAGAAGGGGCAGGAGGAAAUGCCCCAGGAGAAAGGAUGGUGAAGAAGAGGAGCAGAAGAGACCUAUCACUGGAAAGCAUGGAAAUGAUCAGUAAAUAGGUAGUUGAGCUGCGAGGUAAAUUUGUGAGGGAACAAAAUCAAUCUCCUGUAAAGACAUUAGAAGGAGAAAGGAGAACCAAGCCACGUUUCCCAGCCAGAAAUGGGGAGCACUGGGAAUUCAUAUGGAAGACACAGGCUGGGUUUGACAGAAAAGAGGAGUAGAAGACUGGAAGAAGGCGCAAAAUAAGAGAUGAGGGGCCGCAAGAGGGUACUGGAGUAAGGGAGAAAAAGCUGCAUUUGUGCCCAUUAGCCUUGAAUAUAAAGACCCAGCCUCAGUUCUGAAAAAGAGCCAGCAAUGAGGCAGCCCCAGAAUCAGCCCUACUGCUGAAGUCUGACACGUUAACAACCCAGCGGGAAUUAAGAGGUGAAAUCAGCAGAUGAAACAAUUGAUGAAGCCGAGAUAAGCAUUCCUGGGAAGGAAUUUUUCAAAAAAUCAACAUGAAUCUGUAAAUUUUCCUAAUCAGGAAAUAUGACAAAAAAUUAAAUUCAACCGAAAAAAAUGAAGUGCUAAAUAACUCACCCACGCUAAAUGGAAAGGCUCUAUUGAAAAUACCACUGAUUAUUAGUUUUAGCUGCUCAGGGAAAUUAUCUAGGCACAAUGAUGGGCAUCAACAUUCAGCUCACAGCAGCAGUCAAAAGCAGCAGCUGAGAUGUGUGGCCAUCCUAAUUAGAGGAUGGAGAAUUCUGAAAAGGCUCUGGAGCUGUGACAUUCCUGGCUGAGGUUUUCCUUCUAGGAAUGCCAUAUUAGGGUUUUGGUCAUCACAUUGUAAAAAAAGGACUUAAUAGGAAUGAUCCGGAA
Molecule: long non-coding RNA, 1066 nt
Organism: Pteropus alecto (black flying fox)
Lineage: Eukaryota; Metazoa; Chordata; Mammalia; Chiroptera; Pteropodidae
Exons: 3
Source: RefSeq, a predicted model, not a curated record